This 440-nucleotide ribosomal RNA is filed under the name uncultured bacterium. RNAcentral describes it as "partial 16S ribosomal RNA". It matches the Rfam family "Bacterial small subunit ribosomal RNA", at positions 338 to 795 of the family's 1533-position model. The record is from RNAcentral.
CCUACGGGAGGCAGCAGUAGGGAAUAUUGCUCAAUGGGGGCAACUCUGAAGCAGCAACGCCGCGUGGAGGAUGACGGUUUUCGGAUUGUAAACUCCUUUUGUUAGAGAAGAUAAUGACGGUAUCUAACGAAUAAGCACCGGCUAACUCCGUGCCAGCAGCCGCGGUAAUACGGCGGGUGCAAGCGUUACUCGGAAUCACUGGGCGUAAAGCGCGCGUAGGCGGGAUAGCAAGUCAGAUGUGAAAUCCUAUGGCUUAACCAUAGAACUGCAUUUGAAACUGUUAUUCUAGAGUAUGGGAGAGGUAGGUGGAAUUCUUGGUGUAGGGGUAAAAUGCGUAGAGAUCAAGAGGAAUACUCAUUGUGAAGGCGACCUGCUAGAACAUAACUGACGCUGAUGCGCGAAGGCGUGGGGAGCAAACAGGAUUAGAUACCCCUGUAGUC